UUAGAAAGCUUCUUUCUUGUAUUUUGUGAUGGUGGUGCAUGGUCCGUUUUUUAGUUGGUGGAUUGAUUUUGUCUGGUUAAUUCUGAAAACGAACGAGACCUUAACCUGUUAACUAUGUGAUGUUAAAAUUCGACUUCGGUCUCAAUAUUUGAUAUUAAAAAUUUAAUACUUCUUAAAGGAACAAUUCAAACUUUAAUUGAAUGGAAGUUUAAGGCAAAAACAGGUCUGUGAUGCCCUUCGAUGUUCUGGGCUGCACGCGCGUUACACUGAUAUGUUCAAUGAGUUUUUAAAUUUCCUAGUCUGAAAAGACGUGGUAAACUUAGAAAAACAUAUCGUGAUUGGAAUAGUAUUUUGUAAUUAUCGCACUUGAACGAGGAAUUCCUAGUAGGGGCAAUUCAUCAAAUUGCCCCGAUUACGUCCCCGCC
RNAcentral lists this ribosomal RNA (425 nucleotides) under uncultured eukaryote. Its description in RNAcentral is "bacterial SSU rRNA". It matches the Rfam family "Eukaryotic small subunit ribosomal RNA", at positions 1248 to 1657 of the family's 1831-position model. The record is from RNAcentral.